RNAcentral lists this ribosomal RNA (449 nucleotides) under uncultured bacterium. RNAcentral describes it as "partial 16S ribosomal RNA". It matches the Rfam family "Bacterial small subunit ribosomal RNA", at positions 354 to 796 of the family's 1533-position model. The record is from RNAcentral.
GUCGAGAAUCUUUCACAAUGGGGGCAACCCUGAUGGAGCGACGCCGCGUGGAGGAUAAGGUCUUCGGAUUGUAAACUCCUGUCAUGCGUGAACAAGGUUGCUUGGUUAAUACCUGGGCAAAUUGAUGGUAACGCAAGAGGAAGAGACGGCUAACUCUGUGCCGGCAGCCGCGGUAAUACAGAGGUCUCAAGCGUUGUUCGGAAUCACUGGGCGUAAAGGGUGCGUAGGUGGCGUGGUAAGUCAGAUGUGAAAGCCCGGGGCUCACCCUCGGAACUGCAUCCGAUACUGCCAUGCUAGAGUACUGGAGAGGUGACUAGAAUUCUCGGUGUAGCAGUGAAAUGCGUAGAUAUCGAGAGGAAUACCAAAGGCGUAGGCAGGUCACUGGACAGUUACUGACACUGAGGCACGAAGGCCAGGGGAGCGAACGGGAUUAGAAACCCGUGUAGUCC